UUUCCGUAGGUGAACCUGCGGAAGGAUCAUUAUUGAAUAAACUUGCACAGGCUGUUGCUGGCUCUCUCCUAGAGGGUAUGUGCACGCUUGUCAUUUUUAUCUCUCCAACUGUGCACAUAUUGUAGACCUGGAGUUCUUGUUGAUUCAUUUCGAGGUGGCACUGCUGUGCUUUGCAAAACAGAAGUCGGCUUUGCCUUUUCAUAUCCAGGUCUAUGUUGUUUUUACAGCCUCUUGAAUGUGUUUAGAAUGUUGAAUCAGGUCGUUUUGUACCUAUAAAGUUAAAUAUACAACUUUCAGCAACGGAUCUCUUGGCUCUC
Molecule: unclassified non-coding RNA, 317 nt
Filed under: soil metagenome
Description: partial contains small subunit ribosomal RNA, internal transcribed spacer 1, and 5.8S ribosomal RNA
Source: RNAcentral